GAUGAACGCUGGCGGCGUGCCUAAUACAUGCAAGUCGAGCGAACGGACGAGAAGCUUGCUUCUCUGAUGUUAGCGGCGGACGGGUGAGUAACACGUGGAUAACCUACCUAUAAGACUGGGAUAACUUCGGGAAACCGGAGCUAAUACCGGAUAAUAUUUUGAACCGCAUGGUUCAAAAGUAAAAGACGGUCUUGCUUUCACUUAUAGAUGGAUCCGCGCUGCAUUAGCUAGUUGGUAAGGUAACGGCUUACCAAGGCAACGAUGCAUAGCCGACCUGAGAGGGUGAUCGGCCACACUGGAACUGAGACACGGUCCAGACUCCUACGGGAGGCAGCAGUAGGGAAUCUUGCGCAAUGGGCGAAAGCCUGACGGAGCAACGCCGCGUGAGUGAUGAAGGUCUUCGGAUCGUAAAACUCUGUUAUUAGGGAAGACCAUAUGUGUAAGUAACUGUGCACAUCUUGACGGUACCUAAUCAGAAAGCCACGGCUAACUACGUG
This 497-nucleotide ribosomal RNA is filed under the name uncultured bacterium. RNAcentral's name for it is "partial 16S ribosomal RNA". It matches the Rfam family "Bacterial small subunit ribosomal RNA", at positions 28 to 507 of the family's 1533-position model. The record is from RNAcentral.